RNAcentral lists this ribosomal RNA (440 nucleotides) under uncultured bacterium. RNAcentral describes it as "partial 16S ribosomal RNA". It matches the Rfam family "Bacterial small subunit ribosomal RNA", at positions 338 to 795 of the family's 1533-position model. The record is from RNAcentral.
CCUACGGGAGGCAGCAGUGGGGAAUAUUGCACAAUGGGGGAAACCCUGAUGCAGCGACGCCGCGUGAGUGAAGAAGUAUUUCGGUAUGUAAAGCUCUAUCAGUAGGGAAGAAAAUGAUUGUACGUGACUAAGAAGCUCUGGCUAAUUACGUGCCAGCAGCCGCGGCAAUACGGAGGGGGCCAGCGUUAUCCGGAUUUACCGGGUGUAAAGGGAGCGUAGGCGGACAGACAAGUCAGAAGUGAAAGCCCGGGGCUCAACCCUGAGACUGCAUUUGAAACUGUCGGGCUGGAGUACAGGAGAGGUAAGCGGAAUUCGUGGUGUAGCGGUGAAAUGCGUAGAUAUUAGGAGGAACACCAGUGGCGAAGGCAGCUUACUGGACUGUAACUGACAUUGAGGCUCGAAAGCGUGGGGAGCAAACAGGAUUAGAUACCCCAGUAGUC